CCCUUAGAUGUUCUGGGCCGCACACGCGCUACAAUGGCAAAGUCAACGAGUUGAUCCUAUGCUGACAAGCACAGGUAAUCUUUUCAGUCUUUGUCGUGAUGGGGAUAGACCCUUGUAAUUAUUGGUCUCCAACGAGGAAUUCCUAGUAAACGCAAGUCAUCAACUUGCAUUGAUUACGUCCCUGCCCUUUGUACACACCGCCCGUCGCACCUACCGAUUGAAUGGUCCGGUGAAGUCUUCGGACCGAUGCUGGUUCGUUGGCAACGGAAAGUUGAGUAAACCUUACCAUUUAGAGGAAGGUGAAGUCGUAACA
RNAcentral lists this ribosomal RNA (313 nucleotides) under uncultured eukaryote. Its description in RNAcentral is "partial 18S ribosomal RNA". It matches the Rfam family "Eukaryotic small subunit ribosomal RNA", at positions 1470 to 1796 of the family's 1831-position model. The record is from RNAcentral.